CACAGAGUUAGCCGGGGCUUCCUCUGCGGGUACAAUCAAGUCCCCGACGUAUGAGGUCGAGUCCCUUUUUCCCCGCUGACAGGAGUUUACAAUCCAAGGACCUUCAUCCUCCACGCGGCGUUGCUGCGUCAGGCGUUAGCCCAUUGCGCAAAAUUCCCCA
RNAcentral lists this ribosomal RNA (160 nucleotides) under uncultured bacterium. Its description in RNAcentral is "partial 16S ribosomal RNA". The record is from RNAcentral.